RNAcentral lists this ribosomal RNA (460 nucleotides) under uncultured bacterium. Its description in RNAcentral is "partial 16S ribosomal RNA". It matches the Rfam family "Bacterial small subunit ribosomal RNA", at positions 338 to 795 of the family's 1533-position model. The record is from RNAcentral.
CCUACGGGUGGCAGCAGUGAGGAAUAUUGGUCAAUGGGCGAGAGCCUGAACCAGCCAAGUCGCGUGAAGGAUGACGGCCCUACGGGUUGUAAACUUCUUUUGUCAGGGAGCAAUUGGGUCCACGCGUGGGCUUAGCUCGAGUACCUGAAGAAAAAGCAUCGGCUAACUCCGUGCCAGCAGCCGCGGUAAUAGGGGGGAUGCGAGGGUUAUCCGGAUUUAUUGGGUUUAAAGGGUGCGUGGGCGGAAUAUCAAGUCAGCGGUAAAAAUUCGGGGCCAAACCCCGUAGUGCCGUUGAGACUGGUGGUCUUGAGUGGGCGAGAGGUAUGCGGAAUGCGUGGUGUAGCGGUGAAAUGCAUAGAGAUCACGCAGAACUCCGAUUGCGAAGGCAGCAUACCGGCGCCCAACUGACGCUGAAGCACGAAAGCGUGGGUAUCGAACAGGAUUAGAUACCCCUGUAGUC